UGGAAGUAAAAAGUCGUACCACGUUCCGUAGUGACCUGCGAAGGAUCAUGUCGAACCUGCUAGCAGAAGACCGAGACAUGUUCAACGCUGGGGGCGGAAGGGUCUUGGGCUAUUGCGCCCCCUUAUCCUAGGAGGCAAGGGUCUUGCGGGUUGCAUUUCGGGGCUUUCGCUGGAUCGACCCUCCCAGGCGUACUGAACACCGGCGUGAAUUGCGCCAAGGAACUUGAAGGAAAGAGCGUUCCCCCGCCGUCCCGGAGACGGUGUUCGUGCGGGUGGUUUCUUCGUCUUCAAUAUGUUUAAACGACUUUUGGCAACGGAUAUUUUGGCUUUUGCAUCGAUGAAGAAGGUAGGGAAAUGGGAUACUUGGUGGGAAUUGCAGAAUCCCGUGAACCAUCGAGUCUUUGAACGCAAGUUGCGCCCGAAGCCAUUAGGCCGAGGGCACUUUUGCCUGGGGGUCACACGUCGUUGCCCCCCCCAACCCCCUCGGGAGUUGGAUGGGACGGAUGAUGGCCUCCCGUGUGCUCAGUCACGCGGUUUGGCAUAAAUACCAAGUCCUCGGGCGACCAAACGCCCACGACAAUCGGUGGUUUGUCAAACCUCGUUUUCCUGUCGCGCGCGCGUGUGAUCGAGUGCUUUCUUAAACAAUGCGUGUCGAUCCGUCGAUGCUUCAACGCGACCCCAGUCAGGCCGGGGUAC
RNAcentral lists this ribosomal RNA (696 nucleotides) under Rosa hybrid cultivar. Its description in RNAcentral is "eukaryotic LSU rRNA". The stretch from base 303 to 458 matches the Rfam family "5.8S ribosomal RNA". The record is from RNAcentral. Lineage: Eukaryota; Viridiplantae; Streptophyta; Magnoliopsida; Rosales; Rosaceae.